This 297-nucleotide ribosomal RNA is filed under the name uncultured Pseudomonadota bacterium. RNAcentral's name for it is "uncultured proteobacterium partial 16S ribosomal RNA". It matches the Rfam family "Bacterial small subunit ribosomal RNA", at positions 29 to 351 of the family's 1533-position model. Lineage: Bacteria; Pseudomonadati; Pseudomonadota. The record is from RNAcentral.
AAUGAACGCUGGCGGCAGGCCUAACACAUGCAAGUCGAACGGGCACUUUCGGGUGCUAGUGGCGGACGGGUGAGUAACGCGUGGGAACAUACCCUAUGGUUCGGAAUAGCCCCGGGAAACUGGGAGUAAUACCGGAUACGCCCUUCGGGGGAAAGAUUUAUCGCCAAAGGAUUGGCCCGCGUUGGAUUAGGUAGUUGGUGGGGUAAUGGCCUACCAAGCCGACGAUCCAUAGCUGGUUUGAGAGGAUGAUCAGCCACACUGGGACUGAGACACGGCCCAGACUCCUACGGGAGGCAG